This 262-nucleotide ribosomal RNA is filed under the name uncultured archaeon. Its description in RNAcentral is "partial 16S ribosomal RNA". It matches the Rfam family "Archaeal small subunit ribosomal RNA", at positions 748 to 1008 of the family's 1478-position model. The record is from RNAcentral.
AGGGUGUAAACGCUGCAGACUUGGUGUUGGAGGCCCUUUGGGGGCAUUCAGUGCCGGAGAGAAGUUGUUAAGUCUGCUACUUGGGGAGUACGUCCGCAAGGAUGAAACUUAGAGGAAUUGGCGGGGGGAGCACCGCAACGGGAGGAGCGUGCGGUUUAAUUGGAUUCAACACCGUAAAACUCACCAGGGAAGACUGUUACAUGAAGGCCGAGCUAAAGACUCUGCUAGAUUUUCAGAGAGGAGGUGCAUGGCGUCAGUGACU